UCCCUGGUGGCUCAGAUGGUAAAGAAUCUGCCUGCAAUGCAGAAGACCUAGGUUUGAUCCCUGGGUUGGGAA
Molecule: transfer RNA, 72 nt
Filed under: Ovis aries (sheep)
Lineage: Eukaryota; Metazoa; Chordata; Mammalia; Artiodactyla; Bovidae
Also listed under: 1 other name
Rfam family: tRNA
About the family: Transfer RNA (tRNA) molecules are approximately 80 nucleotides in length. Their secondary structure includes four short double-helical elements and three loops (D, anti-codon, and T loops). Further hydrogen bonds mediate the characteristic L-shaped molecular structure. tRNAs have two regions of fundamental functional importance: the anti-codon, which is responsible for specific mRNA codon recognition, and the 3' end, to which the tRNAs corresponding amino acid is attached (by aminoacyl-tRNA synthetases). tRNAs cope with the degeneracy of the genetic code in two manners: having more than one tRNA (with a specific anti-codon) for a particular amino acid; and 'wobble' base-pairing, i.e. permitting non-standard base-pairing at the 3rd anti-codon position.
Source: Rfam by way of RNAcentral